This 429-nucleotide ribosomal RNA is filed under the name Verrucomicrobiota bacterium. Its description in RNAcentral is "Verrucomicrobia bacterium partial 16S ribosomal RNA". It matches the Rfam family "Bacterial small subunit ribosomal RNA", at positions 355 to 776 of the family's 1533-position model. The record is from RNAcentral. Lineage: Bacteria; Pseudomonadati; Verrucomicrobiota.
UGGGGAAUCUUCCGCAAUGGGCGAAAGCCUGACGGAGCAACGCCGCGUGAGUGAAGACGGCCUUCGGGUUGUAAAGCUUUGUUAUUCGGGAAGAAAGAGUCGCUUGUGAACAAUGAGCGAAAGUGACGGUACCGAAAGAGAAAGCCACGGCUAACUACGUGCCAGUAGCCGCGGUAAUACGUAGGUGGCAAGCGUUGUCCGGAAUUAUUUGGGGUAAAGAGCGCGUAGGCGGUCGUGCAAGUCAAUCUUAAAAGUGCGGGGCUUAACCCCGUGAUGGGAUUGAAACUGUGCGACUGGAGUAUCGGAGAGGAAAGUAGAAUUCCUAGUGUAGCGGUGGAAUGCGUAGAGAUUAGGAAGAAUACCGGUGGCGAAGGCGACUUUCUGGACGAAAACUGACGCUGAGGCGCGAAAGCGUGGGGAGCAAACAGG